GAGCAGAUGAUGUAUCAAUAUCAAUAGAUGCUGAGAUUUAUGUCAAUGAAAUGUCAAAAAUCGAGCUUUUUAAAACUGAUGCUCA
Small nucleolar RNA from Elaeis guineensis (African oil palm), 85 nucleotides. Lineage: Eukaryota; Viridiplantae; Streptophyta; Magnoliopsida; Arecales; Arecaceae. The record is from RefSeq and is a predicted model, not a curated record.